This is a long non-coding RNA of Clupea harengus (Atlantic herring), 431 nucleotides long. Lineage: Eukaryota; Metazoa; Chordata; Actinopteri; Clupeiformes; Clupeidae. The record is from Ensembl.
AUGAAGCUAGAGGAAUCCGCUUCUACACUUUUCCGAGGAGGACCACUGAGAGCAAUGAGUUCCACUCUCCCACGUGAGUGGAGGGACUACAGCCACCUCUGCUCCUGUGCAGAGUGAACUUCUCAGAGUUGUUACGACCUUUGACCUUGACCCUGCGGGACCUGUGCUGCUCAGGAGUAGCCCAUGGGAGCCUCGGUGAUUUGACCCUGCCGUGUGUAAAUCUGCAGGAGGUUUGUACCCAGUGUGAGCUGCAGACAUGAGCGACAUGCAGCCCGUGGAGGGUCCGAUGGGCCCUUCAGAGGGCGCCCAGCACGGCAUGACACUGGCCUUGCGGGACGGAGACCAAAAUGGGAAUGCCUUUGCGGAGUCUUCCUCCUCUUCCUCUUGCUCCCCGUCCUGCCAGAGCGAGUCGUCUCCAGACUCCGUGCGCA